AGAGUUUGAUCCUGGCUCAGGAUGAACGCUAGCUACAGGCUUAACACAUGCAAGUCGAGGGGCAGCAUGGUCUUAGCUUGCUAAGGCUGAUGGCGACCGGCGCACGGGUGAGUAACACGUAUCCAACCUGCCGUCUACUCUUGGCCAGCCUUCUGAAAGGAAGAUUAAUCCAGGAUGGCAUCAUGAGUUCACAUGUCCGCAUGAUUAAAGGUAUUUUCCGGUAGACGAUGGGGAUGCGUUCCAUUAGAUAGUAGGCGGGGUAACGGCCCACCUAGUCAACGAUGGAUAGGGGUUCUGAGAGGAAGGUCCCCCACAUUGGAACUGAGACACGGUCCAAACUCCUACGGGAGGCAGCAGUGAGGAAUAUUGGUCAAUGGGCGCAGGCCUGAACCAGCCAAGUAGCGUGAAGGAUGACUGCCCUAUGGGUUGUAAACUUCUUUUAUAUGGGAAUAAAGUUUUCCACGUGUGGAAUUUUGUAUGUACCAUAUGAAUAAGGAUCGGCUAACUCCGUGCCAGCAGCCGCGGUAAUACGGAGGAUCCGAGCGUUAUCCGGAUUUAUUGGGUUUAAAGGGAGCGUAGGUGGAUAGUUAAGUCAGUUGUGAAAGUUUGCGGCUCAACCGUAAAAUUGCAGUUGAUACUGGCUGUCUUGAGUACAGUAGAGGUGGGCGGAAUUCGUGGUGUAGCGGUGAAAUGCUUAGAUAUCACGAAGAACUCCGAUUGCGAAGGCAGCUCACUGGACUGCAACUGACACUGAUGCUCGAAAGUGUGGGUAUCAAACAGGAUUAGAUACCCUGGUAGUCCACACAGGAAACGUUGAAUACUCGCUGUUUGCGACAUACAGUAAAGCGGGCCAAGCGAAAGCAUUAAGUAUUCCUCCUGGGGAGUACGCCGGCAACGGUGAAACUCAAAGGAAAUUGACGGGGACCCGCACAAGCGGUGGAGCAUGUGGUUUAAUUAGAAGCAACGAGAAGAACCUUACCAAGUCUUGACAUCCGCCUGACCGAUCCUUAACCGGAUCUUUCCUUCGGGACAGGCGAGACAGGUGGUGCAUGGUUGUCGUCAGCUCGUGUCGUGAGAUGUUGGGUUAAGUCCCGCAACGAGCGCAACCCCUAUCCUCAGUAGCCAGCAUUUAAGGUGGGCACUCUGGGGAGACUGCCAGGGAUAACCUGGAGGAAGGCGGGGAUGACGUCAAAUCAUCAUGCCCCUUAUGAUUUGGGCUACACACGUGCUACAAUGGCGUAAACAAAGGGAAGCGAGAUCGUGAGAUGGAGCAAAUCCCAAAAAUAACGUCCCAGUUCGGACUGUAGUCUGCAACCCGACUACACGAAGCUGGAAUCGCUAGUAAUCGCGGAUCAGAAUGCCGCGGUGAAUACGUUCCCGGGUCUUGCACACACCGCCCGUCAAG
Molecule: ribosomal RNA, 1405 nt
Filed under: uncultured bacterium
Lineage: Bacteria
Description: partial 16S ribosomal RNA
Rfam family: Bacterial small subunit ribosomal RNA
Source: RNAcentral